CGGCGGACGGCUGAGUAACGCGUGAGAACAUACCCUAAAGUGAGGGAUAACUACUCGAAAGAGUGGCUAAUACCGCAUGUGAUCUUCGGAUUAAAGCAUUUAUGCGCUUUAGGAAUGGCUUGCGUACGAUUAGAUAGUUGGUGAGGUAAAGGCUCACCAAGUCGACGAUCGUUAGAUGGUUUGAGAGGAUGAUCAUCCAGACUGGGACUGAGACACGGCCCAGACUCCUACGGGAGGCAGCAG
RNAcentral lists this ribosomal RNA (243 nucleotides) under uncultured bacterium. Its description in RNAcentral is "partial 16S ribosomal RNA". It matches the Rfam family "Bacterial small subunit ribosomal RNA", at positions 96 to 354 of the family's 1533-position model. The record is from RNAcentral.